RNAcentral lists this long non-coding RNA (419 nucleotides) under Oryzias javanicus (javanese ricefish). RNAcentral's name for it is "lncRNA (ENSOJAG00000021022.1)". Lineage: Eukaryota; Metazoa; Chordata; Actinopteri; Beloniformes; Adrianichthyidae. The record is from RNAcentral.
GCGUGUGUUUGUGUUGUGGAGCAGUGUAAAGAAGAUGGCCGGAGCUACGAAAGGCAGAUAUAUCUUGGCACAUUCAUCUUUAAAGAAGUUUUGAUUACUUUCGUGGGAGAAAUGCAAAGAUACUGCCACAAACUCGAGGAUGACGUCAUGAAGUGGACGGCAUCCACGCGCAGCGGCAGGCGGAGCUUCAGGAAUUCAAGCCGUUUUACUUCCGGCAAAAAGCUUCAGGAUCUUCAGCGACUUUCAACAAAAAUCCUUCAGAUGCAGGUCGCCGACCCCGGUCCUGAACGGAGGAUGUCACCACAGCCGCUGCAAAGCUUCAGUUUGAGGAGCAGCUCGGUCCAUGUUUGCAGCGCGUCACAUGAAAGUGUCUGAGUCAGAAAACCCACAGAGGUUCCUCCACUCCUCUGAGAAAAAUG